Molecule: ribosomal RNA, 730 nt
Filed under: Rahnella sp. enrichment culture clone SEQ15_Clone8BP1_ANA
Lineage: Bacteria; Pseudomonadati; Pseudomonadota; Gammaproteobacteria; Enterobacterales; Yersiniaceae
Description: bacterial SSU rRNA
Rfam family: Bacterial small subunit ribosomal RNA
Source: RNAcentral
AAGCCUGAUGCAGCCAUGCCGCGUGUGUGAAGAAGGCCUUAGGGUUGUAAAGCACUUUCAGCGAGGAGGAAGGCAUCAUACUUAAUACGUGUGGUGAUUGACGUUACUCGCAGAAGAAGCACCGGCUAACUCCGUGCCAGCAGCCGCGGUAAUACGGAGGGUGCAAGUGUUAAUCGGAAUUACUGGGCGUAAAGCGCACGCAGGCGGUUUGUUAAGUCAGAUGUGAAAUCCCCGCGCUUAACGUGGGAACUGCAUUUGAAACUGGCAAGCUAGAGUCUUGUAGAUUGGGGUAGAAUUCCAGGUGUAGCGGUGAAAUGCGUAGAGAUCUGGAGGAAUACCGGUGGCGAAGUCGGCCCCCUGGACAAAGACUGACGCUCAGGUGCGAAAGCGUGGGGAGCAAACAGGAUUAGAUACCUUGGUAGUCCACGCUGUAAACGAUGUCGACUUGGAGGUUGUGCCCUUGAGGCGUGGCUUCCGGAGCUAACGCGUUAAGUCGACCGCCUGGGGAGUACGGCCGCAAGGUUAAAACUCAAAUGAAUUGACGGGGGCCCGCACAAGCGGUGGAGCAUGUGGUUUAAUUCGAUGCAACGCGAAGAACCUUACCUACUCUUGACAUCCACGGAAUUCGCCAGAGAUGGCUUAGUGCCUUCGGGAACCGUGAGACAGGUGCUGCAUGGCUGUCGUCAGCUCGUGUUGUGAAAUGUUGGGUUAAGUCCCGCAACGAGCGCAA